This 386-nucleotide ribosomal RNA is filed under the name uncultured bacterium. Its description in RNAcentral is "bacterial SSU rRNA". It matches the Rfam family "Bacterial small subunit ribosomal RNA", at positions 370 to 772 of the family's 1533-position model. The record is from RNAcentral.
AAUGGGCGAAAGCCUGAUGCAGCAACGCCGCGUGCGGGACGAAGGCCUUCGGGUCGUAAACCGCUUUUCUGGGGAAAGAGCAAGGACGGUACCUCAGGAAUAAGUCUCGGCUAACUACGUGCCAGCAGCCGCGGUAAAACGUAGGAGGCGAGCGUUAUCCGGAUUUACUGGGCGUAAAGCGCACGCAGGCGGCUCCGUGAGUCGGACGUGAAAGCUCUCGGCUUAACCGGGAGAGGCCGUUCGAUACUGCGGGGCUUGAGGUAGGGAGAGGAAUGCGGAAUUCCCGGUGUAGUGGUGGAAUGCGUAGAUAUCGGGAGGAACACCUGUGGCGAAAGCGGCAUUCUGGCCCUCACCUGACGCUGAGGUGCGAAAGCGUGGGUAGCAAA